CAAUAGCGUAUAUUAAAGUUGUUGCGGUUAAAAAGCUCGUAGUUGGAUUUCUGCCGAGGACGACCGGUCCGCCCUCUGGGUGAGUAUCUGGCUCGGCCUGGGCAUCUUCUUGGAGAACGUAGCUGCACUUGACUGUGUGGUGCGGUAUCCAGGACUUUUACUUUGAGAAAAUUAGAGUGUUUCAGGCAGGCUUUCGCCGGAAUACAUUAGCAUGGAAUAAUGGAAAAGGACUUCAACCUCUUCUGUUGGUCUGAGAGGCUGUAGUAAUGAUUAAUAGGGAUAGUUGGGGGUGCUAGUAUUGGCCGGCCAGAGGUGAAAUUCUUGGAUUCGGUCAAGACUAACUUAUGCGAAAGCAUUCACCAAGGAUGUCUUCUUUAAUCAAGAACGAAAGUUGGGGGAUCGAAGAUGAUUAGAUACCAU
Molecule: ribosomal RNA, 420 nt
Filed under: uncultured eukaryote
Lineage: Eukaryota
Description: bacterial SSU rRNA
Rfam family: Eukaryotic small subunit ribosomal RNA
Source: RNAcentral